Molecule: non-coding RNA, 46 nt
Organism: Tropilaelaps mercedesae
Lineage: Eukaryota; Metazoa; Arthropoda; Arachnida; Mesostigmata; Laelapidae
Source: Rfam
GCAUCGGCGUUCCUCAACGCCAUCCGCAUUUACAGAGGAAAACUGU